GACGAACGCUGGCGGCGUGCUUAACACAUGCAAGUCGAACGGAAAGGCCCUGCUUUUGUGGGGUGCUCGAGUGGCGAACGGGUGAGUAACACGUGAGUAACCUGCCCUUGACUUUGGGAUAACUUCAGGAAACUGGGGCUAAUACCGGAUAGGAGCUCCUGCUGCAUGGUGGGGGUUGGAAAGUUUCGGCGGUUGGGGAUGGACUCGCGGCUUAUCAGCUUGUUGGUGGGGUAGUGGCUUACUAAGGCUUUGACGGGUAGCCGGCCUGAGAGGGUGACCGGCCACAUUGGGACUGGAAUACGGCCCAGACUCCUACGGGAGGCAGCAGUGGGGAAUAUUGCACAAUGGGCGGAAGCCUGAUGCAGCAACGCCGCGUGCGGGAUGACGGCCUUCGGGUUGUAAACCGCUUUCGCCGGUGACGAAGCGUGAGUGAGGGUAAUGGGUAAAGAAGCACCGGCUAACUACGUG
This 468-nucleotide ribosomal RNA is filed under the name uncultured bacterium. RNAcentral's name for it is "partial 16S ribosomal RNA". It matches the Rfam family "Bacterial small subunit ribosomal RNA", at positions 28 to 507 of the family's 1533-position model. The record is from RNAcentral.